RNAcentral lists this transfer RNA (73 nucleotides) under Tethya sp. XMU02001079. Its description in RNAcentral is "tRNA-Ile". It matches the Rfam family "tRNA". From Rfam's summary of the family: Transfer RNA (tRNA) molecules are approximately 80 nucleotides in length. The record is from RNAcentral. Lineage: Eukaryota; Metazoa; Porifera; Demospongiae; Tethyida; Tethyidae.
CGGGAAGUAGCUUAAUUGGGAGAGUAUAGUUUUGAUAAAGCUAAGGGUAUUGGUUCGAUUCCAAUUUUGCCGA